Long non-coding RNA from Gallus gallus (chicken), 1674 nucleotides. Lineage: Eukaryota; Metazoa; Chordata; Aves; Galliformes; Phasianidae. The record is from Ensembl.
AAAGAAGUUAAAACCAUUGGACUGCUUCAAAAGGUUCCCUUGCUAAUGUAGGACUUACUAUGACCUUCAAGAACAUUAAUUUGUAUACCUCAACUAAUUGGCUUUCAAGGUGUGAUUAAAAGAAGUUCGUAGGUAUUGUUAAUGGAACAGCUGCAAGGAUGUAAGCUGGAGAAUUUUGACACAUUUCUUUCUCAAUUCUUAUGCUUAAAAAGAGGCGAAUUACUGCUAUUAUUAUCUGAGAUGCAAAAAGGAGGAAUAACAGAACAUUUUUUCAGUGGUUUCAUCCCUUUACCAAAAUUUCCAGUUUUAGCUUUCUCAUUCUUGACAGUCACUGCCUUCCUCUCCAGAGUCUUCCUCUCCAGAGUGUGACUUUUUCCACUAAAUCAUACAUUGUUUCAGAAAAAAGCAUUGCAUCAGAAAAACCAUAUCUGCCAUAUGUUAAAAUUCCCUUUAGGACAUGAAAGCUAUCACUGCUUUCACUUUUACCUCAAUAGAUGGAGUAUAUUUAAAUUUGACUCUGCUCUAGAUCAUCAUGAGUGAUAAAGAGACCUUUAUAUAGCUGUGGCUAACUUAACAUUGUGUUGAAAUUGCAUAGGAAAUUGCAUAGCCUCCAUAAUUCUCUGAAGAGCAAUGCCUGGAGCCUCCCAGGGCUGGGAUGCAGUGGUUGAGUAAUGAAUGAGGAGAAAGGUUUUGGAGCUCAUCUGCACUCGGAUCUGCCCGUGACUUAGGGGGAGCUCCAGGGUGUUGCAGGAAUAGGGCAAGAGUAUUGAAGACCCAACUCCUGCGUGCAGGGCAAAACUUUGUUCAUGGUAUCUGCAGCAUUAAGUUUGACAAAUAGUGAUCUUGGUCUGUGUGUUAAUGGGAGAGGUGUUUAGACUGCAGGUGCAGAGGUGCUAGACUUUGUUAAGUGUGUCAAAGCCACAGCCUCCAACGUAUGCACCACUGCUGUAGGGAGUGAAGUAGCACUUGAGUUGCAGAAUGACGUGUAGUGGAUAUGUCAGGAAGCCUGUGAGUACUAACACCUUUGUACCUAAGCUGGUUCACUAGGACUGGUUUCCCCCAGUGCACGCAUUGUGCAUGUAGAUGUCUUUUAAAAGUAAAGUUGAACUCAGUUUCAAGCAGUGACUCAAGGAGAGCUGAAGCAUUUAUUUUUUAAAAAAACAUAUUCUGGAUAUUAUGGGUAUCAUGUGAUAACCAAAUAAAGAGGUGAAAGCUUUGACUACAGUAUGAAAUAACAAAAUGUACUUGCCUACUCCUUCUGCACAGUAAGGUUUAAGCAAAAAGGCUCUCCUUGGCUGAGACCCAGGGUAUGUUGUGUGAUCAGAAGAAAGUGUCAGUGAUUGCAGUUCAAGCAAGCUGAGGCUUCCAUGCUGGUUGCUAUGGUUUCUAGAAGUGGCUGUAGGCUGAAGAAGUGCAUGAACAUGUGUGUGCAUGUUUAGGUUUCAAAAAAAAAGAAUUACUAGUGUCCCACAAAAUUAAAUUGAAGGUUUCUUCUCCAUGCCAUCAGAUGCAGAAUAGUAACAGAGCAUCAUUUUUUGUCGGGUCUCUCUGAAUACCAGAUGGCAGCAGAUUGCAGUCUGACAAGUGGCGUCUGACGUGAAAGUGAGGAUGAAGCAAAGGUGUAUCACUGAAUCCCUCCAUGUGGAAAGAAAGGCAUCCACUGACAUUCACCAA